This 2540-nucleotide long non-coding RNA is filed under the name Acanthaster planci (crown-of-thorns starfish). RNAcentral describes it as "uncharacterized LOC110982195". Lineage: Eukaryota; Metazoa; Echinodermata; Asteroidea; Valvatida; Acanthasteridae. The record is from RNAcentral.
UUCACUUCAAUGGGCACAAUGGAGGAAUACUUUGAAGUGUUGUACGAGGUUCAGGGGCUGAUGGUGCCGGGUGAGGGAGGGAGUCGUUGUCCGAAUUGCCGUGAUGACGGAGUGUUAAGCACAUCAACACGGAGAAAAAUACGAAGGAUCCGGUGUCUUACCUAGUACGGAACAACUAGUGCGAACCGGGAUACUAACCACGCCUGUAACAGCGGAACCUGCAGUGCUGUUCCACCGUCGUUUCCAUGUGAUGAGCCUAACUUCUGAACCUGUGUUUUGACUGUUUCACGCGUGAUACAUGAUUGGCGUCCUUCCCCAACGAGCAGCGAGUUUUGAAAACAGUGUACAGUAGGCCCGCUCCAAAGUCCUACGGUGAUUACUCGGUUCAACUGUGUUGAGCUCCCGCGUCACGGAGGGACGUUGAAUGAGAGCGGCUGUCAAGACCAAUUGUCGUGUCGACCCAAUUUUUCCCGUGACUGUAGUUCCGUGGGGCAAUGAUCCUUAUCCGCUUGAAAUUCAUCAAAAGUGUUUAUACCUGUCGGUCGAUGAACGAUAGUACGAGGGAGCGAUGCCUUCCAGUAAAGAAGGGUUCAGUAAUGACAGACCUAUAGAUCAGGAUCCUUUAGUUACGUUUUACAUGUACAAGUUUCACAUUUUAUUUUUACACUGCGAUACAAGCUUUCUAGAACUUUGAGGUAGAGGGUAAACACGUAAAUUAUGCAAUUGUUGGGCACGAUCGGUCGAUCUUUCCUCCAUGAACCCCACUAUCUCGACGGUGCUAUUGGCCGAUCAUGUAGGAAAUUUCAGAUUUGAUUUCCUGUGUUCGAGACAGUACUCCACAACCGUGUAUUAGAAAGAAAAGGUGAUCCGCUGAUGAAAGCUCGCCAUAAGACCGGUCAGUUGCCCAAAGAUCAAGACUUAGUGAUUGCAAAGAUCUCGAUCGCACCCAUCUCCAAUACGGUAGUCAUUUUUGCAUCAUCUUCCCGUGGGUGGACUUGCUUGGACCAUUGAGCUAUUAAACACAUAUAAGCUCCAUGCUUGGACUCAGCAAUUUCGACUCAUCUCGCUGAUGAAAAUCGAGUCAGACUUGUCUGACUCAAGCUUUUUAUGGACUCGGCUUAGCGCCAACUAGAUUGACUAAACUCAAAAACAACACUCUGCCGCACAGCAUUGCUAACGUUGAUUUCAUUUUACACUGAUUUUGAAAAAGCAUAGCCGGUCAACCACUUUUAACUUCCGUCAGUUUUAAGUCAAAAGCGGCAUCAUGCAUGUUUCAACUCCACGCUGAGCUUUUGCUCUGUUCGAUGUCGAUGAAUAGCCGUCGACUUAUGUUUCCCACAACGACUUUUCUUGUCGGUGAACCUACAGUACAAAAACCUUGCUUCAAUUUUCUCCGUGAUUUGAUCCUGUCAAGUUUGUCUUCCUUGCAUUUAUCAAAUCGUAGCGCCUGUCCGUCAUCAGCAGCCUAGAAGGUAAACCACGUGCCAUCCCUGGCGCAAUUUGUUAACACUCUUGCCAGGCGGCGUGUGAAGAUUAAUCACGGACUUAUGACUUGUUGGUCCCCCUCCGGAAGGUUGAUCGACACCGUGUCCUAGAUAAGGAGAAGUGUGCCCAACAUCGAUGGCCGCAUUCAACUUCUCAAAAUGGCAACAGCUUCAAAAACUACUUCAGCGAAACGUCUUGGUGGAGUUUGUCAACCUUACCCACUGUAGUCCUUCCUACAUGCCUCUGUUGGCGUUACUUACCAUAAUUUGAGCCCAGGAAACGGUUCACCGCAGCUGGGCAGCCUAAUUCCGCUCAGUGCAUCGUUUUGGUGACAGUUAUAGCUCAUCUCUCAUAGCUAAUCACUCAUUGCAAUGGUUAAAACUGAUGAGUUCAGGUUGGCAAAAUCAUACAACAAAAGACUCAUUGCGACGUUGCCGCAUUCUCGGACAAUGCCCUGGUAUACUGCGGUAUGACUACGGUUCGAUCUGACCAUUUUCUUGUUUUAGUUUUUGCAAUGAUCUUUGGUCAUUUAGCUUCGAGCGUGAUGACAGAAAAGAAUGUCACCCGUCGAGCUACAUUGUAUGGUGUUCUGUAUCUGCCAUUUCGCAUUUCUCAUCUCCCCAGUUUAUCCUGCCAUUCCCGCGUAUUGAGUGAAUAAGAUUGGUCAAAAUUAGUUUCCUCAUAUCCUCACAUCCAUUGUCUCGGAUCAAAAUCUAUAUGUCGAUGACUGAUGUUCUGAAGAGCAUGUCGUGAUAUUGGGUCGGUGUGGGUACCAGCAUUUUUCCUUCCUAAUGUGACCGUUGUUCCACUACAGUCGAGUAUGGACUGUCGUAUCCAGUGAUGUCCUAUCUAAUGACAGGUCUUUCACUGAGUCUUGCCAACUCUAGGUUAAGGCUGCGUCAGUUCGAAUACAUGAAAAUUGGAAUAUUUGACCUGAAAAAUGUACUUUUCGAACUUUCGGUUGAACGGCAAAUCUUCGGUCAGCCAAGUGUCAGAAGAACUUCAAGUUGAAGAAGCCAUUUUUAAACGAAAUAAAAUCAUCUUGGGAUUACUUA